GCCUUCGUGGUGUAGUGGUCAGCACGCUCGACGCGUAUUCGAGAGGUCCAUGGUUCGAGUCCGGGCGAGGGCA
Molecule: transfer RNA, 73 nt
Filed under: Stegodyphus mimosarum
Lineage: Eukaryota; Metazoa; Arthropoda; Arachnida; Araneae; Eresidae
Description: tRNA-Thr for anticodon CGU
Rfam family: tRNA
About the family: Transfer RNA (tRNA) molecules are approximately 80 nucleotides in length.
Source: Rfam by way of RNAcentral